This 4064-nucleotide unclassified non-coding RNA is filed under the name Owenia fusiformis. RNAcentral describes it as "misc RNA OFUS_LOCUS19901". Lineage: Eukaryota; Metazoa; Annelida; Polychaeta; Sabellida; Oweniidae. The record is from RNAcentral.
GUAAAUUUGCACCAAGAGCGAGCUGAACAACGUUAAAAGUGUCUUAUUGCAAUUUUGUCAACUAUACCAAAUUAGCCAGCUGAGGGGGUUAGGGCAACUGGAAAUAUUACUGAACACUGUGGCCGAAGAAUAAGAUCAUUUGCAAAGAGGCAUUAUGGCAAGUGGUGGACCCCCUAUCGGGAGGGCAGGGAGAGCCGCCCAGUUGUUAAAAGCUGUACAACAGCCUGUUCGGAGACCAGGGGAGCAUGAGGAACAAGCCUCACCAGCCCCAGUGCCCCAGGCUCAGGGAGCUAAGGUUGAAUCACCAGCCCCUGUAGUGCCCGUAGGCAGGGGGCUCAUGAUGAAAAAGAUGCUGGAAGAGAAGAAAAAGAAGGAGGCUGAGAUGGCCCAACAAGGAGUUGAGGCUCCAAGGCCUGUUGGAAGAGGGGCAUUAGCCAUGCAGUCAUUGGCAAGUGCUCUACCAGUAACACCUGGGACCCCUCCUAGAGUGAAACAAGCAUCCCCACCCCAGAGAAUCUCCCCUCAGAAGCCAUCACCCCAGCAACAACAGACUCCAAGGCAAGCUACUCCUGGUCAGCCCCCUGCAGAACAGGAGAGAAAAUCUCGUCUGAUGUUUGCUCUGGAAAGGGAGGAGAGGCCAGGAGUUCAAAUGAAGGGAACUUCAGGCAAACAAAUACACCUGGCUACUAACUAUAUUAGAGUAGAAUCUUUGACGCCAGAGAUGUAUCAAUAUCAUGUGUCCUUUGAGCCAAAUGUAGACUCUAGGAACAUAAGGUUUAAACUACUCAAUCAGCACAGGGAUAUAAUGCCGUAUAAGGUCUUUGAUGGAGCAAUGCUGUUCCUUCCAUAUAAUUUGGGAAAGGAAAAAUUAUUGACAGCAGAACGUCACACUGAUGGAGCAAAGAUCACCAUCAAGUGCACUCUCACUAAAGUGGUGCCUCAUGAGCAGAACACUUUCAUCUUUAACAAUCUGUUCAAUAGAGUACUAGAAAAGCUGAAAAUGGUCCAGAUCGGUCGGCAUUACUAUGACCCUCAUCGACCAGCAGAUGUACCCCAACAUAGAUUGCAAGUGUGGCCAGGAUACAUCACUGCUAUUGAGAGGCAUGAGGGUGGUCUCCUAUUGCAGGCAGAUGUUUCUCAUAGAGUCCUCAGGACAGAGACUGUACUUGAUGUGCUGGACACACUGGUUAAGAGGUCCCCCCAAACUUUCCAAGAUGAGGCGGUUAAGCUCCUUGUAGGCACAACUGUAUUGACAAGAUACAAUAACAAGAACUACAGAGUAGAUGACAUAAAUUUCUCUAUGUCGCCUGAAGAUACCUUCGCCAAUUCCAAAGGGGAGGAGACUUCCUUUUUGGAAUAUUACCAGAGGGCCUAUGGUAAAGAAAUUCGGGACAGACACCAGCCAUUGCUUAUCAAUCGGCCAAAGAAACGAGAACAAGGAGCUCACCACCUGGAACAAAUAUGCCUCAUUCCGGAGUUGUGCUAUUGCACAGGGCUCACUGACAGUAUGAGACAAGAUAAUAGGGUUAUGAAAGACCUUGCCUCUCAUACCCGCAUCACACCCGAGAAAAGGAUAAUCGAACUGCGAAAAUUUAUUGAUGCCGUCACUUCCAACCCUGAGGUUGUGGCCAUGUUAGAGGGAUGGGGUCUGAGAUUACACUCCGACAUAAUGGACACCAGUGGGAGAACAUUACCUCCUGAGGACAUCCUCACUGGUGGUCGUUUAAUCAAAGGAACUGUCCAGGCUGAUUGGGGUCGUGACAUUGUCAGAAAUAAUGUCAUUCAAGCGGUGGACUUGAGGUGCUGGAUUGUAAUUGUUACAAACCGUGACCGCCAGAGGGGUCAAGAUUUUGUUGAGAACUGUGGUAGAUCAUGUGGGGCAAUGGGAAUACGAAUGGCCCAACCAAAUGUGAUAAUCAUUGAAAAUGACCGAACUGAGUCCUACCUUAAAGCAAUCAGGAAUUCCAUCAAUGAACAGGUUCAAAUGGUGGUGACCAUCUUCCCCACUCUGCGAGAAGAUAGAUACAGUGCUGUGAAGAAAUGUUGCAAUAUUGAGUGUCCUGUAGCGUCUCAGGUGAUCAUAUCGAAGACCAUUGGAGAUCCCAAGAAGUUGCGUAGUGUCUGCCAGAAGAUUCUAUUGCAGAUGAAUGCCAAAUUGGGAGGUGAACUCUGGGCUGUUGCCAUACCACCAAAAUCUUUGAUGGUGAUUGGUAUAGAUGUUUAUCAUGAUGGUAAAGGUAGCAAUAAGAGGUCUGUUGUUGGUGUUGUCUGUUCAAUCAACCAACGCCUCACUAAGUACUACAGCAGGGUAGCACACCAAAUGCCUGGAGAGGAACUGGUUGCUAAGCUGAAGCCCCUAGUCAUUGCUGCCCUCAGGAAAUACCACGAGGUAAAUCACUCUCUACCAGAGCGUAUUGUUCUGUUCCGUGAUGGUGUUGGAGAUGGCCAGCUUGACAUAGUAGGAGGCUAUGAGGUGUCUCAGCUUGCGGAGUGCUUCCCUGUUUUUGGUGAAGAGUACCAGCCAAAACUGACUGUUGUUAUUGUCCAGAAACGUAUCAACACAAGGAUGUUUGCCAUCCAGGGCAGGAACUUUGAGAAUGCUCCGCCAGGCACAGUGUUGGAUCAUUCAGUCACCAGGAGAGACAGGUAUGAUUUCUUCAUUGUGUCCCAGCACGUGAGACAGGGAACAGUCACCCCUACACAUUACAUUGUUGUCCAUGAUGAUUCAUCGUUCAAAACAGAUCAGCUUCAGAGGCUAACAUACAAGAUGACACAUCUCUACUAUAAUUGGCCUGGUACAGUCCGUGUACCUGCACCUUGCCAGUAUGCCCACAAACUAGCAUACCUGGUGGGUCAGAGUCUCCACAAGGAACCCAACAUUGCCCUGUGCAGCCGCCUCUUCUAUUUGUAAAUGAUGUGCUCAAACCACCAUGAUCUAUGCAAGAGAUGCUCGGAGCCAAAAUGCAUUUAUGCGGUAAAUGAACAUGGUUUAGCAAUGUGGUUGAGGGACCAAUCAGGAAGUGAUAGUCAUAUGGAUAUUAAAUGUCCCAUAUUUGGUGCUCGGCUUUUAAGAAACUGAAGGGAGAUUAAGCGCGUAUGAAACACUGGCGUGUACUUCCAGAAUAAGGCGGCAAUAACUAUGUAUUUGCAUAUGUACUUCAAGCGAGUUAUAAACACCUGGUUAUCUGACAAGUAUAAAUGAUCUCUGAUCUUAUUAUGAUCUUUGAUCAAACUGUGAUCUCAGAUCCAACAAUGUAUAUUGAUCUUGGAACCACUGAUGAUCUUGAAUUUCACUGAACCAUUUACCAAUAAGAAAAAUGGCUUGAUUAAUAAUCAUAUAUUUUUGGUGGUUCUAGCUUUGUGCAAAAUGAAAACAUGUACAUGAUGUAAAAUAGGAUAACGUGCCUUUGAACUGUACAUAGGUAUGUAAAUAAACAUAUUGUAUAUGGGUGUGAUAUUUAUUUUAAAUCUCGGGGAUAGUCUAUUUGAUCUGAAUACUAGAACCAAAGCUUGUGUUUUUAUUUUAAGAUAUGUGCACUCAGUAUUUGUUUUAUCUUAGUCUGUUAAGAAGUAUACGAUUUGUUUUAGGAAUAACUGAUUUUAGUUAAGUAUCAUUAUCAAGAAUGAUUCUUGUACACAUCGUCUGUGAUUCUCUAAGGUUGAAAUUAUUCAUUGUUUUCUUUUAAAUGGCUCAACCAAGGAAGAGGUGUACAUUAUAUUUAUUAUUUGAAAACUGAAAUACAAUGAAUAAAUUCAAUCAUAUUUUUGAACCUAUCAUACAUAGAUGUGAAAUGUUGGUAAACAAAAAGUAGCAUAAAAGAUUUUUGAUGAUUAUUGUAAGUGCAUACAUUAUUUAGAGAAAGUUGAAUUCAUGUACAUCAUUGUAGAGUAAAGAAUAUGGAAGAUUAGCAUGGGGAUGUACAUUUGAUCGAUAUGGUCAUUUUAUUUUAGAUAUAAGCUCUUCUCGGUAGACAGUAGCUAAUCUGUGGUUUUGAGUGCCUGAACUGAUCAAAAUACUUUUAUACUGAGCAAAAAUGGCAGAAACUUAAUUUUGUUAUCUCUAA